GAUAGCCGUAGAUGACAAAGGGAUUCAGUGUCGGACUGUUGACAAGACGCACAGCAUGAAUUGUGGCAUCAUAGAUUCCUCCCCAAAACAUGGCUUUUCCCACUAACAAUAAUGCUCCUGCACCAAGGAAAAGUAAGUGGUGUCCGAGAAUAAAACCAAGUUUUUUUGGAUCAUUCCA
RNAcentral lists this antisense RNA (178 nucleotides) under Calothrix sp. PCC 6303. RNAcentral's name for it is "Antisense RNA which regulates isiA expression". It matches the Rfam family "Antisense RNA which regulates isiA expression". The record is from Rfam by way of RNAcentral. Lineage: Bacteria; Bacillati; Cyanobacteriota; Cyanophyceae; Nostocales; Calotrichaceae.